Non-coding RNA from Triticum aestivum (bread wheat), 135 nucleotides. Lineage: Eukaryota; Viridiplantae; Streptophyta; Magnoliopsida; Poales; Poaceae. The record is from Rfam.
GUAGUACUCCCUCCGUCCGGAAAUACUUGUCCUAAAAAUGAAUAAAAGGGGAUGUAUUUAGACGUAUAUUAGUUCUAGAUACAUCUCUUUUUAUCCAUUUUGAUGACAAGUAUUUGCGGACGGAGGGAGUAGUAG